GACGAACGCUGGCGGCGUGCUUAACACAUGCAAGUCGAACGGAAAGGCCCUGCUUGCUGGGUACUCGAGUGGCGAACGGGUGAGUAACACGUGGGUGAUCUGCCCUGCACUUCGGGAUAAGCCUGGGAAACUGGGUCUAAUACCGGAUAGGAGCCAUUUUUAGUGUGAUGGUUGGAAAGUUUUUUCGGUGUAGGAUGAGCUCGCGGCCUAUCAGCUUGUUGGUGGGGUAAUGGCCUACCAAGGCGGCGACGGGUAGCCGGCCUGAGAGGGUGGACGGCCACCUUGGGACUGAGGUACGGCCCAGACUCCUACGGGAGGCAGCAGGGGGGAAUAUUGCACAAUGGGCGCAAGCCUGAUGCAGCGACGCCGCGUGGGGGAUAACGGCCUUCGGGUUGUAAACUCCUUGCGCUAGGGACGAAGCUUUUUGUGACGGUACCUAGAUAAGAAGCACCGGCUAACUACGUG
Molecule: ribosomal RNA, 465 nt
Filed under: uncultured bacterium
Lineage: Bacteria
Description: partial 16S ribosomal RNA
Rfam family: Bacterial small subunit ribosomal RNA
Source: RNAcentral